Molecule: ribosomal RNA, 253 nt
Filed under: uncultured bacterium
Lineage: Bacteria
Description: partial 16S ribosomal RNA
Rfam family: Bacterial small subunit ribosomal RNA
Source: RNAcentral
UACGGGGGGGGCAAGCGUUGUUCGGAAUUACUGGGCGUAAAGCGUGCGCAGGCGGCUUUGCAAGACAGAUGUGAAAUCCCCGGGCUCAACCUGGGAACUGCAUUUGUGACUGCAUGGCUAGAGUGCGGCAGAGGGGGAUGGAAUUCCGCGUGUAGCAGUGAGAUGCGUAGAUAUGCGGAGGAACACCGAUGGCGAAGGCAAUCCCCUGGGCCUGCACUGACGCUCAUGCACGAAAGCGUGGGGAGCAAACAGG